GCCGACCGGCGUCAGUCCGUGGGCUUCCGCGGAAUCCCGGAGGUGGCUUAGCUGUUUUACGUCCCGGUUUUGUGCCGUUGGCGGUCUUCUCUCCAGACUCCCUGGGCCUUGCCUCCGACUUCACCAUGUACCACAACAGUAGCCAGAAGCGGCACUGGACUUUUGCUAGUGAGGAGCAGCUGGCGCGAUUGCGGGCCGACGCCAACCGCAAAUUCAAAUGCAAAGCUGUGGCGAACGGGAAGGUUCUUCCAAAUGACCCAGUCUUUCUUGAGCCUUCUGAAGAAAUGACGCUGUGCAAGUAUUAUGAGAAAAGAUUAUUGGAAUUCUGUUCGGUGUUUAAGCCAGCAAUGCCAAGGUCUGUUGUGGGUACAGCUUGUAUGUAUUUCAAGCGCUUUUAUCUUAAUAACUCAGUAAUGGAAUAUCACCCCCGGAUAAUAAUGCUCACUUGUGCAUUUUUGGCCUGCAAAGUGGAUGAAUUCAAUGUGUCUAGUCCACAGUUUGUUGGAAAUCUGCGGGAGAGUCCUCUUGGACAAGAGAAGGCACUCGAACAGAUUUUGGAAUAUGAACUACUUCUUAUACAGCAACUUAAUUUCCACCUUAUUGUCCACAAUCCUUAUAGACCCUUUGAGGGCUUUCUCAUUGAUUUAAAGACUCGCUAUCCCAUGUUGGAGAAUCCAGAGAUCUUGAGGAAAACAGCUGAUGACUUUCUUAAUAGAGUUGCACUGACGGAUGCUCACCUUUUAUACACACCUUCCCAGAUUGCUCUGACUGCCAUUUUAUCUAGUGCAUCCAGAGCAGGAAUUACUAUGGAAAGUUAUUUAUCAGAAAGUCUGAUGCUAAAAGAGAACAGAACUUGCUUGUCACAGUUACUAGAUAUAAUGAAAAGCAUGAGGAACUUGGUAAAAAAAUAUGAACCACCCAGACCUGAAGAAGUCGCUGUUCUGAAACAGAAGUUGGAGAGAUGUCACUCUGCUGAGCUUGCACUUAACAUAAUUACGAAAAAGAGGAAAGGUUAUGAAGAUGAUGAUUAUGUCUCAAAGAAAUCCAAACAUGAGGUAUGUUCUCCAAAGGAAGAAUGGACUGACGAUGACCUGGUAGAUUCCCUCUAAACAUCUGAAAUUGAUUUGUCAAUGCUAACUAAUCAACAGAAGGAUGAAGCAUAUCUGGCAUUUAACUUCAAAAAUGAAGUCACUAAAGUUUGGCGUCAGAGCAUGGUCCACAUUUACCUCUGAAAAUUUUCCUACCCUUUAAAAAAAUGUUUAGAGGUUUCAUUUCAUCAUUGACCACCUAAGUUACUCCAAGGCCUACAAAGGUAAAUGACAAGUAAGUUUCCUAUUCCAGCUUAAGAAAUAAUAAGCAUGUCAUUAAGAUAAAAAAAAGCAGAGUGUCUUUAGGUUUGUGGGUUUUUUUAGAAAUAAAAGGCAGGAGAAGCAAUUCAGAUUGAGAAAUGGCAGGUCAGUAUGGUUAAAAAACUGAGAUGUGAGUAGUGGGAGAGAACAAAUUGCUGAGCACUAGAAUCGACCUUUUUGCAUAUUGUUGAAAUGUUUUUGGAGAUGUCCAUAUCCCUUCUAGUCUAUCCUGGAAGGAGACCAAAUGGCAUACUAUUGUCUAACUAACUAACUGAAAAGCAGAGGGGAAAAGAUGGAAUUAGGUUGACAUCAAGAAAAAGGAGCACCUGGUGUGUUUGUUAGUGUUUUGCUAUCACUGUUCAACUGUGAUCGCAGCUACUUCAGGUCUAGCUACCUCUAUACAAAUAACAGCAUUUAAUACUUUUGCAGCUGAGGGUUCACAAAAUUUCUGCAUAGUAUAGUUUUAACACUUGAAUGCUUAAAAUACAGGAAGAAACAAAGUGUUGCUCUUAGAACCUAGGCCUUUAGAAAAUUUUUUUUUUUUACUGGGGAAAUGCUUUUCCCAGUACAUCCCCGUCUGGCUCUCUGUAUGCCUUCUCUCCCCUGCACAGUUUUAUGGGAGGGAAUGAAUCGUUAACAAAUACAUAAUGGAAUCCUUCAAAAGAGACCAU
Molecule: RNA transcript, 2020 nt
Organism: Balaenoptera musculus (blue whale)
Lineage: Eukaryota; Metazoa; Chordata; Mammalia; Artiodactyla; Balaenopteridae
Gene: CCNH
Gene name: cyclin H
Exons: 10
Source: RefSeq, a predicted model, not a curated record